CCACGCUUGACGGGGUGCCGUUGAAAACGGCUGAGAUCAUGCAGCGCCAGCCGGCGAUGGAGCAUGGAUCCCGUUGAACCUGAACUGGCUAGGACCAGCGUAGGGAUCAAGCGACACGCAGAG
Molecule: non-coding RNA, 123 nt
Filed under: Halomonas chromatireducens
Lineage: Bacteria; Pseudomonadati; Pseudomonadota; Gammaproteobacteria; Oceanospirillales; Halomonadaceae
Description: TPP sequence
Rfam family: TPP riboswitch aptamer (THI element)
About the family: Vitamin B(1) in its active form thiamin pyrophosphate (TPP) is an essential coenzyme that is synthesised by coupling of pyrimidine and thiazole moieties in bacteria.
Source: Rfam by way of RNAcentral